CUUCUUCUCCUCUGCUCCACCUGCGUCACUUGGCUGCUCGUGCCUCCUCCCUCCAUCUCGCAUUUCUUCCACCCCAUGCUGGCACGCAAGGCUGCUGCGUCUGCCAUCCGCUCGCGGACCCUGGAGCCAAACAUCGACCCCUUCGAACGCCGCACGACUUGGCUCGGAGCUGCCCGCCUCCGACCGGCAAGCUCGGGACAAGCGAGGUUGGCCGACCACGGCGGGGCCGCAGGCAAGCUUGGGCACGGCCAUGGUCGACGGGUGGCGCGCUCGGGGCCAGCGAGCUCGACCCAGACACGAGGACGCGGGCUCGCUACAACCCGCCUGGAUCUGCCGCAGAAGACGCGGCGUGGUGGCAACGUGGAUUCGGGAGAUGGGGACAAGGGUAGGGAGCUGGGGAUGACCGGCAAUGAGGCUAGGAGGCGGAGGAGCUCGGGUCCUCGGCAGCUGCGCGGGCAAGAAGCUGGAAAAUAGUAACAGUAGAAACAAAAAAAGUAGAGGUCUUCCUUAGCCAUCCGUUGGAGAAAAGGGUUACGAACAACCAGAUUGGGAGGGAAAUUUUUAGACAUCUGGUAUGCGGCGGUGCAUCUGCAAGAAGCAAAGGGCGGCAGCGGCGUAGCUGCUUUGCUGGUGGUGAAGAGGGCGACAGCAACUGUCGAGGCGUCAAUCCCCUCCACAAGGAAGCAAAGCCAACACAAACAUGGCCAAUGGAGACGCGGCAAGCGAUAGCGAUAAACAAUUGGAUGCCACUAGCAGUGGUGGGAUUGGUGCGUACGUUGUCGAACAGGGUACACGAACGAGAUCACGGGUCCUGGAGGCGGAAUCUAUUCCCGUUCACACUGGAGCUUGCGUGGUCGGCACGAGUUGCCCCUGGGCCACGUCAGUCGCCUUUGGCUCUUUGUUGUUUCUUUGGUUCCUGUUGAUCCCAAACCUUUUCUUUUUUAGCAGUAUGUCUUCCAAACCUUGGAGAGCUGAGCAAGACAAAGAAUCUUUUCUAUUUCACAUAUGGCCUGAAUCCCGGACCCGAUGAACAAAUAUUCUAUUUGAUUUUGGAUUCAGUCCGGAGAUGUCGACUUCGUUGAGUAUUGCGCCUGCCACUGGCUCUCGCUGGGAUUUGCUUUGCCUUGGGCAUUUUGCGUCCACCGGAAACUCCUCGUUAUAGCAAAACAGGAGCACGAUCCGGUUCUCGCCACGUUCUUGUGUCCUUAACCUCCCGCAGCCGGUGGUGACGAGGUGCCCGUGCCAUGCCACAAGUUCACCGCCAUCCAGCAGCUGGGGGCCGGUAGUGAACCACGGAAUUACACCAGCUGUGGUUAUUUUAUGGGGACUUACUGAACAAAUUGUUGGUGCCAGCUGUCUAAAGAGGAAGAGAAAUUCCUAAAGAAGAGCUGUCCUACAAUGGAGAGCGCUGUCGUAGAGUUUGUCAGUAAAUUUGGAUGGCUCAGGAGCAUAAUAAAAACAUCUAGUUUCUUUUCUGUUCAAUGUCUUGUUUUUUUUUUGUUAUGGUUGGCUUUUGCUGGCAGCCCGAGUGCUGUGUUUGUAAUACUUUGGUUAUAGACAUUCAACUUUGAGUGUUCUCCUUAAUCUAAAAAGACCUGUAACACCGCAGAUCCUUGUGAAUCUGUUGGAGCUGUGCGCAGUAGCCUGCCUGUUC
RNA transcript from Panicum hallii, 1654 nucleotides. RefSeq lists it as uncharacterized. The transcript is spliced from 4 exons. Lineage: Eukaryota; Viridiplantae; Streptophyta; Magnoliopsida; Poales; Poaceae. The record is from RefSeq and is a predicted model, not a curated record.